Molecule: unclassified non-coding RNA, 765 nt
Filed under: Hevea brasiliensis (rubber tree)
Lineage: Eukaryota; Viridiplantae; Streptophyta; Magnoliopsida; Malpighiales; Euphorbiaceae
Source: RNAcentral
UUUUGAGUCUUUCCCCAGGCCAAGUUAUAGAUUACCUUAAGAUAUGUAGAUGGUGUGCAUUAUCUUUUUUUAAUUAUGGCUUAGAAGACAUCUUGCAUUUGGUGGACUGGAUUCAAAUUCAAAUCACUUGCUGUUGGGUUGGUUCUUCACCAUCUAUACUUCCAUCAAUUAUUUGACAGAAUUGGAAAUCUACAAAUCUUUUCAGGGUCAAGGAACAAGAAUUGAACAUAUUUUAGACAAAUGCUUAAGCCGUUUUUUAGUAUUUUAAAACUAUCUUGUUUAAGUUCUUUAUCUAUGUUGAUUGUGUGUUCAGGAAUUGCAUCAAGAUCAAAAUAGGUAUCGGCUUGGGAGAGUCCUAUUCAACUGGAUGAAAUUUGCCAAACUAUAGAUAUAUUUUUUAUUGUUUGGUUUACUUAAGUGCCACUAGUUUGCAAGGAUUUAAUGGUUUCAUUUCUUUAUGUGGAGUUUUGGAUAAUCAUUUAUUGCUUAGGAGAUUGUUAGCAUCAUAUCUAUGAUUGAUAACUCUGUAGUUACUUCUCACAUUUUCCCCACUUCAAUUCCCUCCCAGAAAAGAUUACCAUAGUUAUUUCUAAAUCCUUCAAAUCAGCGUCGGUGAACGUAACUAGUAUAAUGGCACUGUGGGUUGUUUACUUCGCCUAUUAUACUGGAAUGCCCUCAAACAUCAAAUUUUUUAGGAAACACAUAAUUGAUUAUUACUUUUCUUUGCAAUAUCCUAAUUAUCUAUUGUUACUCUUAAAAAAUACA